UACGUAGGGACCGAGCGUUGUCCGGAAUCAUUGGGCGUAAAGAGCGUGUAGGCGGCCACUUAAGUCCUGCGUGAAAUCUUGCGGCUCAACCGCAAGCGGUCGUGGGAAACUGGGUGGCUAGAGUGCGGGAGAGGAGAGUGGAAUUCCUGGUGUAGCGGUGGAAUGCGCAGAUAUCAGGAAGAACACCCGUGGCGAAGGCGGCUCUCUGAAACGCAACUGACGCUGAGACGCGAAAGCGUGGGGAGCAAACAGG
This 253-nucleotide ribosomal RNA is filed under the name uncultured bacterium. Its description in RNAcentral is "partial 16S ribosomal RNA". It matches the Rfam family "Bacterial small subunit ribosomal RNA", at positions 524 to 776 of the family's 1533-position model. The record is from RNAcentral.